This 83-nucleotide small nuclear RNA is filed under the name Fukomys damarensis (Damara mole-rat). RNAcentral describes it as "U4 spliceosomal RNA (ENSFDAG00000004185.1)". It matches the Rfam family "U4 spliceosomal RNA", at positions 1 to 82 of the family's 138-position model. Rfam says of the family: U4 small nuclear RNA (U4 snRNA) is a component of the major U2-dependent spliceosome. The structure of U4 snRNA from yeast and human has been reported. The record is from RNAcentral. Lineage: Eukaryota; Metazoa; Chordata; Mammalia; Rodentia; Bathyergidae.
AGCUUUGUGCAGUGGCAGCAUCAUAGCCAAUGAGGUUUAUCCGAGGCACAAUUAUUGCUGAUUGAAAACUUUUCCCAAAUAUG